GGAUCUUUGGAGAAGCUCGCCGACAGCCGGUCGGGACGAGUGCCGAAGGGGCAAGCGGUUCGCCGCCAAUCUCUCAGGCAAAAGGACAAAGA
This 92-nucleotide non-coding RNA is filed under the name bovine gut metagenome. Its description in RNAcentral is "Glycine riboswitch". It matches the Rfam family "Glycine riboswitch aptamer", at positions 8 to 87 of the family's 94-position model. From Rfam's summary of the family: This family represents the bacterial glycine riboswitch. The record is from RNAcentral.